GUACCCUCAAGCUUUGCUUGGUGUUGGGCGUUUGUCUACUUAUUAUAAUUAGACUCGCCUUAAAGUAAUUGGCAGCCAGUGUUUUUGGUAGUAAGCGCAGCACAUUUUGCGUCUUCGUCUUCAAACAGCGGCAACCAUAAAGCCUCUUUCUCAC
Molecule: unclassified non-coding RNA, 154 nt
Filed under: uncultured fungus
Lineage: Eukaryota; Fungi
Also listed under: 1 other name
Description: sequence contains ITS2
Source: RNAcentral